GGUUUGAAGUAUUAUGUU
RNAcentral lists this small nuclear RNA (18 nucleotides) under Arabidopsis thaliana (thale cress). RNAcentral's name for it is "snRNA_10702". Lineage: Eukaryota; Viridiplantae; Streptophyta; Magnoliopsida; Brassicales; Brassicaceae. The record is from RNAcentral.